GACGAACGCUGGCGGCGUGCUUAACACAUGCAAGUCGAGCGGUAAGGCCCUUUCGGGGGUACACGAGCGGCGAACGGGUGAGUAACACGUGGGUGACCUGCCCUCAGCUCUGGGAUAAGCCUGGGAAACCGGGUCUAAUACUGGAUAUGACUCCAUGACGCAUGUUGUGGGGUGGAAAGCCUUGUGCGGCUGAGGAUGGGCCCGCGGCCUAUCAGCUUGUUGGUGGGGUGAGGCCUACCAAGGCGACGACGGGUAGCCGGCCUGAGGGGCGACCGGCCACACUGGGACUGAGACACGGCCCAGACUCCUACGGGAGGCAGCAGUGGGGAAUCUUGCGCAAUGGGCGAAAGCCUGACGCAGCGACG
This 365-nucleotide ribosomal RNA is filed under the name uncultured bacterium. Its description in RNAcentral is "bacterial SSU rRNA". It matches the Rfam family "Bacterial small subunit ribosomal RNA", at positions 28 to 396 of the family's 1533-position model. The record is from RNAcentral.